Molecule: ribosomal RNA, 478 nt
Filed under: Pseudoxanthomonas japonensis
Lineage: Bacteria; Pseudomonadati; Pseudomonadota; Gammaproteobacteria; Lysobacterales; Lysobacteraceae
Description: bacterial SSU rRNA
Rfam family: Bacterial small subunit ribosomal RNA
Source: RNAcentral
AAUCUACCUUUUCGUGGGGGAUAACGUAGGGAAACUUACGCUAAUACCGCAUACGACCUACGGGUGAAAGUGGGGGACCGCAAGGCCUCACGCGAUUAGAUGAGCCGAUGUCCGAUUAGCUAGUUGGCGGGGUAAUGGCCCACCAAGGCGACGAUCGGUAGCUGGUCUGAGAGGAUGAUCAGCCACACUGGAACUGAGACACGGUCCAGACUCCUACGGGAGGCAGCAGUGGGGAAUAUUGGACAAUGGGCGCAAGCCUGAUCCAGCCAUACCGCGUGGGUGAAGAAGGCCUUCGGGUUGUAAAGCCCUUUUGUUGGGAAAGAAAUCCUAUCGGUUAAUAACCGGUGGGGAUGACGGUACCCAAAGAAUAAGCACCGGCUAACUUCGUGCCAGCAGCCGCGGUAAUACGAAGGGUGCAAGCGUUACUCGGAAUUACUGGGCGUAAAGCGUGCGUAGGUGGUGGUUUAAGUCUGCUGUG